Molecule: ribosomal RNA, 210 nt
Filed under: Triticum aestivum (bread wheat)
Lineage: Eukaryota; Viridiplantae; Streptophyta; Magnoliopsida; Poales; Poaceae
Description: partial small subunit ribosomal RNA
Source: RNAcentral
GAAGAGUGGAGCAGUACGUCCGUCGCUCCGGCAAUGCUUAGUCACAUUCCUCCGGCUUGUCGAUGUCCGAUGAUGAAGAUGUCUGGCCUCGUCAGCUCAGACAGAUGGUCGGCCUUCGCCUUGUCGGUGCCCGGCCUGGUGGUGUCCGCCUCGUCGGUGUCAGACACGGUCUUGCCUUCGCCUCGUCGGUGCCCGGCAAGAUAUGGAUAG